UGGGGUGCAGCUCAGUGCUAAAGUGCUUGCCUCGCAUGUGGGAGGCCCUGGGUCCAAUCCCCAGCACUGCAG
This 72-nucleotide transfer RNA is filed under the name Marmota marmota marmota (Alpine marmot). It matches the Rfam family "tRNA". Rfam says of the family: Transfer RNA (tRNA) molecules are approximately 80 nucleotides in length. Their secondary structure includes four short double-helical elements and three loops (D, anti-codon, and T loops). The record is from Rfam by way of RNAcentral. RNAcentral also lists the same sequence under 1 other name. Lineage: Eukaryota; Metazoa; Chordata; Mammalia; Rodentia; Sciuridae.